GCCUCGUUAGCUCAGUUGGUAGAGCGUUAGACUUUUAAUCUAACGGUCAGAGGUUCGAGUCCCCAACGGGGCU
This is a non-coding RNA of Angiostrongylus costaricensis, 73 nucleotides long. Lineage: Eukaryota; Metazoa; Nematoda; Chromadorea; Rhabditida; Metastrongylidae. The record is from Rfam.